Molecule: ribosomal RNA, 200 nt
Filed under: uncultured bacterium
Lineage: Bacteria
Description: partial 16S ribosomal RNA
Rfam family: Bacterial small subunit ribosomal RNA
Source: RNAcentral
AGAGUUUGAUCAUGGCUCAGGACGAACGCUGGCGGCAGGCUUAACACAUGCAAGUCGAGCGCCCCGCAAGGGGAGCGGCAGACGGGUGAGUAACGCGUGGGAACGUACCCCUCGGUUCGGAAUAACUCAGGGAAACUUGAGCUAAUACCGAAUACGGCUUAGCGGCGAAAGAUUUAUCGCCGAGGGAUCGGCCCGCGUCC